This 72-nucleotide transfer RNA is filed under the name Caudoviricetes sp. Its description in RNAcentral is "tRNA-Glu". It matches the Rfam family "tRNA". Rfam says of the family: Transfer RNA (tRNA) molecules are approximately 80 nucleotides in length. Lineage: Duplodnaviria; Heunggongvirae; Uroviricota; Caudoviricetes. The record is from RNAcentral.
GUCGGCUUCGUCUAACGGUUAGGACAUCACCCUUUCAAGGUGGAAACACGGGUUCGAUUCCCGUAGCCGAUA